Long non-coding RNA from Engraulis encrasicolus (European anchovy), 781 nucleotides. RefSeq lists it as uncharacterized. The transcript is spliced from 2 exons. NCBI's taxonomy places the organism in Eukaryota, Metazoa, Chordata, Actinopteri, Clupeiformes, Engraulidae. The record is from RefSeq and is a predicted model, not a curated record.
UAAACAAACGCCUGCCCCCCAGACCAGGAUCUCAGAAAAGACUGAAUAAGGGGGAAAAAACACCUCAGAUAGGCCUACUGACAAGUAGUGGGAGCAUUACUAAUUAGCAGAAAGCUUUAACAAUGGCACAUGAUAUAACAUAGUGACCAGUCUGUUUCACCAGUUAUUCUACUGUAGGCACACCCAAUGAGAUAGAUAGCCUACUGCUUUGUUGUUAUUGAAAAACCUAAAAGCUAGGUUAAAAAAACCUCCAAUUUGACCAGUACUCUGAUCUUAGAAUCAGUGGGCUACUAUAUACUCAAGUGCAAGUUAUAUGUUUUGGCAGGGUUUUGUUUGAUUGAGUAUUGUUUUUUUUCCUAUUCUUUUUCUCCCUUUUACUUUUGACAAUUCCGUAGAUGGUUGUACAAUCUACUGUAGCCUACUACUCGUGUCAUUUAAAAUGUAUAAAAUAUGAAAUAACAUCUACAUUCUCUCUUCAGAUGCUGUGCUGCUAACGGACACUGCAGUCACCUGUGGGAGGGGUCAAUCAAAUCGGAUCUCAAAAACAGAUGUCGCGAAUCUGAUCUGAUCUACCUACCUCUAUGUGGCAAUAGAGUACCUGCUUUUACUGGCCAGGGGACCAAGAUGAAAACAAGAGGCCUGUACCCAGACAUCCAAGCACCCAUCAAGUCACCCAGUCCUCCACCACCUGCCGUGCAGCUAUACCCAUCCAUCAAAUCCAGCCACUUGCCCACCCUAACCAGUCACAGCAUUUGGAGGCAAUAAAGUAUAAUGAAAUGUA